Molecule: ribosomal RNA, 577 nt
Filed under: uncultured bacterium
Lineage: Bacteria
Description: partial 16S ribosomal RNA
Rfam family: Bacterial small subunit ribosomal RNA
Source: RNAcentral
UGGGGAAUUUUGGACAAUGGGCGAAAGCCUGAUCCAGCAAUGCCGCGUGUGUGAAGAAGGCCUUCGGGUUGUAAAGCACUUUUGUCCGGAAAGAAAUCCUUGGCUCUAAUACAGUCGGGGGAUGACGGUACCGGAAGAAUAAGCACCGGCUAACUACGUGCCAGCAGCCGCGGUAAUACGUAGGGUGCAAGCGUUAAUCGGAAUUACUGGGCGUAAAGCGUGCGCAGGCGGUUUGCUAAGACCGAUGUGAAAUCCCCGGGCUCAACCUGGGAACUGCAUUGGGUGACUGGCAGGCUAGAGUAUGGCAGAGGGGGGUAGAAUUCCACGUGUAGCAGUGAAAUGCGUAGAGAUGUGGAGGAAUACCGAUGGCGAAGGCAGCCCCCUGGGCCAAUACUGACGCUCAUGCACGAAAGCGUGGGGAGCAAACAGGAUUAGAUACCCUGGUAGUCCACGCCCUAAAACGAUGUCAACUAGUUGUUGGGGAUUCAUUUCCUUAGUAACGUAGCUAACGCGUGAAGUUGACCGCCUGGGGAGUACGGUCGCAAGAUUAAAACUUAAAUGAAUUGACGGGGUCAUA